UGAGUUAGACAUGUAAGGUCUGGGAGUCAGCCUCCUUGUGAGGAUAUUGGAGAAGUAAAAAAGGCAAAGUGGUACUAAAAGUGGUGGCUGCAUCCUUGCCGUCUCUGAUGGCUUCUUCCCUCCCUGUGCUCUAUGUCCUGAGUGAACUGUUGUAUUUCUAUACCUUAUAGGACCUGCCUACCUGAGAUGGAAAUGACAGGGAAUAUUCUUAUUGAAGGAAUACCUGACGGAAUGUGUCAUUAAGUUCCAUGCACAGCCCAGGACCCAGCAGGGGCUCCACCACCUGCUUGGCUCUUCUUCACACAUCUCCCAGGCACUAAGUGGGAAGGACUGAAGGUAGACCAGAAGCAGCCAGCACACCCUGAGAGAAGGAACUCUGAGGGACUUUGCAGCUCAGCUUCCAUUCUGCUCACCUGGUGCACCCUCUGCACUCCUAUGUAUGCAGAGAAAGGUAUUUUGAGUUCUGAUUGUUGAAAGAAGGAAAAGUUUCGGUAACUUAAUUCAUAGAGCUUUC
This is a long non-coding RNA of Coturnix japonica (Japanese quail), 514 nucleotides long. The record is from Ensembl. NCBI's taxonomy places the organism in Eukaryota, Metazoa, Chordata, Aves, Galliformes, Phasianidae.